This 193-nucleotide unclassified non-coding RNA is filed under the name soil metagenome. RNAcentral's name for it is "partial contains 5.8S ribosomal RNA, internal transcribed spacer 2, and large subunit ribosomal RNA". The record is from RNAcentral.
AACGCACGAGACCUGCGGACCUGCGGAAGGAUCAUUACCGAGUUAUCCAACUCCCAACCCCUGUGAAUUAUACCUUUAAUUGUUGCUUCGGCGGGACUUCGCGCCCGCCGGGGACCCAAACCUUCUGAAUUUUUUAAUAAGUAUCUUCUGAGUGGUUAAAGAAAUGAAUCAAAACUUUCAACAACGGAUCUCU